Molecule: long non-coding RNA, 638 nt
Organism: Pezoporus occidentalis (night parrot)
Lineage: Eukaryota; Metazoa; Chordata; Aves; Psittaciformes; Psittacidae
Exons: 4
Source: RefSeq, a predicted model, not a curated record
CAUGCUCUCUGACAUCUCUGUGUAAUCAGAUGCUCUUGUUUCCUUCUUGUCAAAGAGCCAGAAAGGUGGCUGGUUUAAGGUGUCUGGCUACCAAAAGGUGGAGGAACCAGCUUUCUUGAAGCUAAGAGCAUGGGACAUUGUCCUGUGUGUCUGGAGAAACCAGAGUUCUCUCUCUCUCAGGAAUGAUGGCUCCUGGGGUUUGCAUGCGAAUGUGUUUAGGGGAGAAGCAUCUCUAAUUUAGUAUGAGCAGUCAGAAGACAGAGGCAUCAUAUUUUUGCUGGUGAGGUAAUUUUAAGAAUGAAAUGGACACACAACUCCGAUGAAACAGGAGACUGGAAACUUCUUAUGUCUAAGUUGGACUCAAGUAGGAGCUGCAAAGUAAGCUGUGCUGGUCCACUCUGAACUGCACAGCAAUCACAUUGCCAACAUGAAUGAGAAUGGUUGCUCACAGAUGAAUGCAGAAGGGAGGGGAGGCAUGAAGGGCAGCCAUUCCAAGUCACUUGGCAAGCCUUUGGCAACAAAAGUGCUUUAAGCCACGAAACACUCAACUUUGUACAUCUUCACUGAUUCCUGGUGUUGAUUUUUCAGUUGUUUGUCUGUAGUUCAGGUUAUGGGAGCUGCCCUUCCUCACGUUUGCC